GCUGGGCGUGGUGGCGCAUGCCUGUAGUCUCAGCUACUCAGGAAGCUGAGGCAGGAGAAUCACUUGAACCCAGGAGGCGGAGGUUGCAGUGAGCCGAGAUUGCGCCAUUGCACUCCACCCUGGGCAACAAAGUGAGACUCCGUCUCUA
This 148-nucleotide non-coding RNA is filed under the name Gorilla gorilla gorilla (western lowland gorilla). The record is from Rfam by way of RNAcentral. Lineage: Eukaryota; Metazoa; Chordata; Mammalia; Primates; Hominidae.